This is a non-coding RNA of Cyanistes caeruleus (blue tit), 4554 nucleotides long. The record is from RefSeq and is a predicted model, not a curated record. Lineage: Eukaryota; Metazoa; Chordata; Aves; Passeriformes; Paridae.
CGGAGCCGGGGGACAGGAGGGCACCGCGCUUCAGGCAGCGCCAAACGACCCCGUCCCGGGCCGAUCUUCUCCUCUUCAGAGCUGAGGGUGCCAAGUAUUUCACACUAAGGGCAGUUUGUGCUCUCUGGUCCACCGAAAAUCUAGAAAACGGUGUAUCGGUCUCCUCGAGCUAGGGGAAAAAUAAAAAGUAAAUUAACCGAGUUCGUUUUGUGCUCAACGCAGGACCUUCUUCUGAAACAGGAACUGAAAUUUGGCCAGUCAGCAUCGAGUUGCUGGUGAAAAUCUCGGUCACAUCAGCAUUUGCCGCCUUUUCGUCUCCUUAAGAAAAAAAGUUAUGAGAAGUAUUUUUUACGUAUGAUGAACAUACAUGAAAGUGACCGCUAAAUUAUCCAGAAAUCCUAUCCUUAAGGCUAAAAUCCUGUAAGGAAAGAGAUAAACGUAAUCAUAUAAUUGCAUAAUUAAAGCCUUUACCAUAAUACCUAUUCUGGUCUAAAGGUUGUGCAUUAUGUGCAAUACUUAAGUACUGUGAGAAGACUAGAAUAAUUUUAGUUGUUGACAUUGCGUUGCGAAAUGUACAAAAGGAAACAUUAAUAUUUUCUUUUUUAAAAAAACUUGAUUUGUUAGAGCUUUAUGAACAGGAUGACUACAGGCAUGUUAGGAACUGAGACUGCCUGUGUAUGGACAGGAGGAGAACUUGGGCUGUAGUUGGGAAUAUUCUAGUUUCCUGAGCUGCUAGUAAAGAAAGGAAAGACUUGAACUUGGGCAGUUUAUUUUUGUCUGUUUAUUUUCCAUUAAUAAUAUUUGAAUCCCUUAUCUAGAAUCAGCCACAAUGAACAAAAAGUUUCAAAAAAUAAUCUGGAAAGGAGCAUAUCACCCCUCAAAAAACCAGCAGCAUAAAUAGCAAUACCUAUUAUAUCAAAGAAUCCAUCCACAGAGAACUGCUGUCUGAAGCAUGAAUUAAUAGAAAUCAGCUUUCUUUGUCUUAUUUUCUUAUGAAUUGAUUUGCUUUUAUGUGAAAAGUGGAACUUUCCUAUGUUUUGAACCAUAGCCAUUGAAUCAGAAGACACAGACCUGGAAAUACCAGUAAAGUAACAUUUUAACAUUCAUUUGUUCUUUAGGAUGUUAUUAUUAUUUUUGUAUCUUCCAUUUCCAGGGCAAGUCUUCCAGAUUCAGGAGGGAAUAUUUUGUCACAUGUUUGUAAAGCAGCCAGGUCCACACAGUCUCUGGGCAGAUUCUGGCACUGUACUCGUAAGGAGCAGUAAGUAGUUCACUGGUGAAGACAGCGAAUACUAUUCUUCCUGAAACAAACUGAGCAGCACAGAGUCAUUUUUGUCACAUUGCAUAAACUAUGUGGCACUUGAGUUACACAUCUGGCUCUAGGGGCAUUUUUAGGAGCAAACAUGGUGACUGCCAGGGCAGCUAGUGGAAGUCACAGUUGCAUUAAUUUAGGUAGAAAUAUCAGUCAUCUCUUGUGCAAUUAUGUCAAAGGAGCUUGUGCCCUGCACCCUCACAGUCACAGUGUCUGUCCUGGCAGCAGGUUGCAGUACAACUUUGGGAAGGCCAAAGUGGCUUAGUGGACCCAGGAGGGGCCCACUAAGCCUCUUGGAGCAGAGAACAGAUACAAAGCCAUGACUCUUGGGCAUGCAAGAAAAGAAAGCUUGGAUACUGAUGCCCAUGGUCAAACUCUUCGAAGCAGGCCCACAAUUGCAGGGUUAAAAAUGUUGAAAUUAAGAUGAAAUUUGAUUUAAAAUAUUUUGUAACAAAAGCUUCCAGUGCUGAAAUCAAAGUUGUAUACUUGGAAUUACAGCAAUCUAAAGCUUCCAUAUUCAAACACUUUUUAUGCCCUGAAGAAAAUUGUAGGCCGUAUAGGACCUCAGACAGUUCUUGUAAAACGUGCAAAGCAUGUCUACAUUGCCCUUCAUGGUGAAAUCAUAAAGUUUACAUGCUGUUUUAUAUAAAUUUAGGAAAGUAAUUUUCAAAUAGAGCUGAAACAUGAAGAUAGAAAUGAUACCUGGUUUUCAUUGCAUAGUUCUAUUUCCUUCACUGACAUGCUCUAAUUAAAUAAAUACAUAUUUAUAUAGAUAUAAAUAUAUACUUUUAAUUUAUAAAUGUAUACUAUAUAAUAUACACAAUAAAUUAUACACAGUGUAGAAUUUAUAAUUUUACACUUAUAUGUGGUAAGGUAUAUCAUACACAGUAUUUGCUGCACUACACAGCUCAUGCUGCAUACUGUAUGCAACAGUGCUACAUACAGUACAAUUUGAUGUAUUCUGUGCUAGUAAAUAAGUUUGUAUUUAUAUUAUACUUCAUAUAUUAACAUCUAUAUAGAAAUAGCAGAUUAUAUUAUCAUAUGUUAACCAUUACAGUCAUAUACAUCAUCUGUACACACCUAUGUCCCUCAUGCAGCUUCUUUCAAUACCUCUUUUCAGAAACCCGCUGUAGGAAAGGUGAUCUUAAUUGACUGACUGUUGCUAUGUGCUUCAUUGCAUUUGGUGUUUCCUAGUCUGAGGCAGAGUCAGAACAUAAACUAGCUGCAGGUAUAACAGUGUGGGAUUCUGGUUUACAGUUGGCACAAGUUUAGAUACAGGGUGUUAAGUACCUGAAAUCUGCUUAAAGCCACAAAAAUUACCAUGAACCCUCAGACCAGAAAAUGAUGUAUGAAUUAGUUUUUUAUUUACACUUUGAUUGCAGUGAUAUCAUGUUUUAAGUGCAUACACUCCUCUGUUAGUUUCUGUAGAGUGGAUGGGCUGAAGUAAUUUGGUUCUCAUUUGCAGAUUGAAAAAACCCUUUUGUCAUUCUACAUCUUUGCAGUCUUAGUGCACCUUUGUGGUAGGAAGCCCAUUAUUCAAAUUAAAAAUGUUUGAGUGAUAGCAAUUAAUAAUUUCUGAGUGAAAUUUUAGAAACUACAAAAGGUUUCAGAGCUCUGUGUGCUUGUGUGUGGGUCUGUGUGUGGGAGUGUGGGCAUUUUGUAUUUUUCAGUGAACUAAUUGUUAGAAGAAAUUAAAUCAACUUAUCUAUCAUAUGUGUAUGAGAAGAGCCACCUCUCUGGUUGCUAAUUUUGUGUCCAAUUGAUAGAUAGUUUGUGAGGCUGCACGUUAAACACUAUCCUGUUUCGGUUGUAACAGCUUGAGGUUUUUAUGUGAUAUUAACAUAAAAGGUCUCUAAUUUUUCACUAGAGAAAAAGAAAAUGCUACAAAUGUUGAAUACCUGAUGGUACUUUCUGUAAGUCUCGCCACUGUUUGGGUAAGUCCCCUACUAAAAUAUUCCCUUUUUCCCACGUACCACUUGUCCCACAGUUUUAGCUGAAUCCAGAAUUUUACAGGUCCUCUCCUAAGCUUAGAAAUUCUCUGCUACAUUGCAGGUUGUGUUCUUUUGUCACAGAGUCUGAAUCUAAACAGUGAAUGUUUCUGAUCAUGUGUCGUUCUGGCCUACAUUCUGAUUAUGUUCUAUUUUUUCUGCACUGAUUUUGGUUCCAUAAAUACACAACUCAAACUGCUCUCAUGUCCAUAAGCAGGCUGGUAUGGCUUGUAUUCUUCUCGUCUCGAAGUGGUACACAGGAUAAUAUCAUAAAUAUUAUAUUGGCAAAUCAUCUAGACCACCUUCUGUAAGCUUUAUAUAACAGCUAACAAUUGGUCACAGGAUAAAAUUUAAUUCUAGUCCUGUUAGUGAAAGAGGUACAUGUGCUUCAAGUUUUGUGAUAAAAUUCAUACAAAUAUAAUUAGAAUGUAGAAUUCUGUGAUAAUAUAUAGCCAAAGCAUGUCUUUCCAUUGAAGUGGGCUUUCUUUGUAACCAUCAACCAUGUCUAUUCUAGGCCAAAUAAAAUUGUUUUCUUUUGCAGCUCAUGGUGACACAAAACACAGCACAUUGUAACUACAAGAACAGACUCGACUGUGAAAGAUCUCUAUCAGGCAUCACAGAGAAUUUGAGGCAGCUGGCAGUUAUCAGCUGAAGCAGUUAACAACAGAGUAAAUGCAGUCUGUGGACCCUUCUCAGUGCCUUGUCUGCUGAUGAAAUGCUUUGCAUAUGUUUCAGAGGGAACCAAGUUGCUCUCCAAGCUCCAUCUGAACACAGACGAAAAUUAUGGCAUCAUGUGAAAUGAUGUCAUAUCAGUUUCUGUCUUGCAGUUCUCUACAGGAUGAAAUUCCCAGAAACUGGAAAAAUGCAUUUACAUAUAUAUUUUAAUAUGUGAGUUCCUGACAAAAAUAGUGGAAAGAACUUUCUUGAGUUUCUCCCAAAGACGAAUCAAGGUUCUGUAAAAUUGCUGGAUCUUUGCUUGUCAUUUGCCGUGACUUGUGCACAUCAUACAAAAAAUAGCAACCAAAGCUCUUGGCCAGGUAAAGUAAUCUUGGAUAUCUUCAUGUGCCUUUGUUCUGAAAAUGUGUACCAAUGCAUAUCCUGGAUCUCAGGCUUAUUAAUGCAUUUAAGGAUUAUUUGAGUUGGUAACCUGAAAUAAUCUGACACUGCGUUUAUUGAUGCAGAAGGUUAUUCUGAAUUUUUUGUCCAAAUGUCUUACUUUACAGUCCCAUGUGAAUAAAAUACUUGGCUUUAAACAUA